GACCCGCUGCUGCAGUCAUGUGAUACUACACUGUGCUGGCUGAUGCACAUAUGUCUGUCCCUAUGUAGCCGAGGAGAAUAAGGGGUAGUGUUGUGCCCACUGGUGGGGAAUGUACCCAUGCUUCAACAGUUUUACCCAGGAUACACUUCUGCAAAACCACUCCAGUAUUGGACCAGUUACCCCACUCUACCAUGGACGUCUUACUGGUGAUGUGGACCUGAACCACCGCCAUGUUAGAGUCACUCUUUCAGGUCUUGUGGAGUAUCCUUUCCGAUUUGCAGGAACCAGCCUGGAUUUGAAGGCACCGGACAGUUCCCCUGCUGUACCAUGGGCGACCUACUUGUGAUGUGUACCUGAACCUCCGUCAUGUUGCAGACACCCCCCCCCCCUCCCCCUCAGGUCUUGCGGAUUAUCCUUCCCAAGGUGCAGGAACCAGCGUGGAUGAAGGGACCGGACAGUUCCCCUGCUGUACCAUGGGCGACCUACUUAUGAUGUUGACCUGAACCUCUGCCAUGUAGCAGACACCCCCCCUCAGGUCUCGCGGAGUAUCCUUCCCAAGGUACAGGAACCAGCGUGGAUGUCAAGGGACAAGACAGUUCCCCUGCUGUACCAUGGGCGACCUACCACAAUACCACUGCAUCUCUGAAAUGCCAUAUUUUACAUUUUAUCAACUAAUAAUUUAAAGAAAAACCACACAAAACUUCUCAUUUUAAAAAUGUAU
This is a long non-coding RNA of Pseudophryne corroboree (corroboree frog), 721 nucleotides long. RefSeq lists it as uncharacterized. The transcript is spliced from 5 exons. Lineage: Eukaryota; Metazoa; Chordata; Amphibia; Anura; Myobatrachidae. The record is from RefSeq and is a predicted model, not a curated record.